This 270-nucleotide signal recognition particle RNA is filed under the name Lachnospiraceae bacterium. RNAcentral describes it as "signal recognition particle sRNA large type". It matches the Rfam family "Bacterial large signal recognition particle RNA". Rfam says of the family: The signal recognition particle (SRP) is a universally conserved ribonucleoprotein involved in the co-translational targeting of proteins to membranes. Archaeal SRP consists of a 7S RNA and homologues of the eukaryotic SRP19 and SRP54 proteins. The record is from RNAcentral. Lineage: Bacteria; Bacillati; Bacillota; Clostridia; Lachnospirales; Lachnospiraceae.
UCGUGCAAGUCGGGGCGUUAGCGGUGCCUUAUUUCCCACAAUCCGCUAUAGUGGGGACUGAAGCCACAUAUGAGGGUCUUAGGCUGGGAGAGCCGCCUUUUGCAAGUGAUGCUGAAGGUUCGGGUCCUAUGCGACGAAAAUCUACGAACCGUGUCAGGUGGGGAACCAAGCAGCACUAAGUAGAACCUUUCGGGUGCCAUAGGGUUACCUGAACCGAGUUAACUACAGAAGUAACGUCUUUUGGCUGGAUUCGAACUGUGGCUAGCACGU